UGUCCAGCAACUCCUAUUCCUACCUCCUCGCGGUACUAGCCGGGGUAAGACUAACCUUAGGGAUGAUCGAGUAAUCAACCCCGGUGGGAGCUUUGGUCGUAUGCUGACAGGGAAGG
RNAcentral lists this ribozyme (116 nucleotides) under Aedes aegypti (yellow fever mosquito). RNAcentral describes it as "drz-agam-1 ribozyme". It matches the Rfam family "drz-agam-1 ribozyme". The record is from Rfam by way of RNAcentral. Lineage: Eukaryota; Metazoa; Arthropoda; Insecta; Diptera; Culicidae.